This 1099-nucleotide long non-coding RNA is filed under the name Lepisosteus oculatus (spotted gar). RNAcentral describes it as "lncRNA (ENSLOCG00000021551.1)". Lineage: Eukaryota; Metazoa; Chordata; Actinopteri; Semionotiformes; Lepisosteidae. The record is from RNAcentral.
UUUAUUAGAAAAAGUAAUAAAGAUUCAUUACUUUGGAGGCAUGUGUCAAGUGUCGAUUAUACCCCCCCGGCCUCUUUUUUGAAACCCAAAAUAUGGUCACCCUAGUCCUGAUAUACUUCGGGGAAUUAUUUUCCCGUAAAUCACAGCUUUUUCCAAACAGACUCCUAGCUGUGUUCAGCAGUCUUCAGCUCUUCGGAUUUUUUUACUGUUCUUUACUGUUGUAAACCACACCUCCGAUGGCCAAUCUGGAAAGGAGAUAAACUUGUUAUUCCACACUCUUAUGUUGCACUACUCCGUUGUGUGCAAGAUUUCUCCCGACGGUGUAUUUUUUUUUUAAUCUGCCUGCAGAAUAUACGCCUGCAUCGAUUAAACAACACGACGAUCGUAUUUUUGCACUUCUGUCCCACUGGCUCCUUCGCCAGCCUCCACUGGCAAUGUGGACUUUAGCGAAUGUCCAUCCAGCCACAUUCGAAACGCUUCCUCCAAAACAGGGUCACGGGGUUGGAGCCCAUCCUGGCAGGCAACAGGAGCUGGGCAGCGUUCACUUGGAUUGGGCGCCGGGGCAUCGCACAAUCAGGAGAAAGUGAUACCUGGCCGAUCAAAAAUGGCAGAAACGUCCCUGUUCGAAAAACGCAACAUGUCCAGUUUCGACAGAAGCGCUGAUUUCUUGCUCACGGACGAGGAGAGCCUUCGUGCGGUAGAGCGCGCUGUCAAGGCAGCCAUAGAGACGGUGCUGUACGUGGUGUCGAGGAUAAGCGACAGUAAAAUGCGGGAGUACCAGAUCCGGGUGGCAGAGGCCGAGAAAGAGAACGAGCGGCUGCGGGCCCAGGGGGAGGCUGCGGUCCGGGAGCUGACGGACCUGCGCGUCCGCUUGCGGGCGCCUGAGCCGCCUCCUCUGUCGCACCCGGGCCACGCUACUGGCGGCGGGGAGUCCGGGAUCUCCGAGGAGGUUUCCGUUGCGUCCCCGGAGGACCCGAGAGAAGAGGAUUUGCGUGCAGACCGUGAAACAGCAGACUUGUGUCCCAGUGAGGAGGAGGAGGGAGGCACAGUUUCAGGUCUGUUUGAGAAGGGGACUGUGAGGGAAUGGAUUAAGGAAGAG